This is a small nuclear RNA of Talpa occidentalis (Iberian mole), 170 nucleotides long. RefSeq annotates it as U1 spliceosomal RNA. The record is from RefSeq and is a predicted model, not a curated record. Lineage: Eukaryota; Metazoa; Chordata; Mammalia; Eulipotyphla; Talpidae. The transcript has a single exon.
AAAAAUACCUGGCAAGGGAGCUACUGUGAUCACACAGAUGGAUCAGUAGAUCACAAAGCCAGGACGAGGCUUAUCCAUUGAGCUCUGGAUAUGCUGACUCCUGUGAUUUCCCCAAACAUGGGAAGCUCUGUUGCAUACUUUGUGGUGCGGGGGGACUGAACUCUCCCCUG